This 392-nucleotide ribosomal RNA is filed under the name uncultured bacterium. Its description in RNAcentral is "partial 16S ribosomal RNA". It matches the Rfam family "Bacterial small subunit ribosomal RNA", at positions 523 to 918 of the family's 1533-position model. The record is from RNAcentral.
AUACGGAGGAUCCGAGCGUUAUCCGGAUUUAUUGGGUUUAAAGGGUGCGCAGGCGGCCAUUUAAGUCAGCGGUUAAAUCGUGGGGCUCAACCCCAUUCUGCCGUUGAUACUGGGUGGCUUGAUUGCGGUCGAGGUUGGCGGAAUUCGUUGUGUAGCGGUGAAAUGCAUAGAUAUGACGAAGAACACCGAUUGCGUAGGCAGCUGACCAGACCGCAAAUGACGCUCAUGCACGAAAGUGCGGGGAUCGAACAGGAUUAGAUACCCUGGUAGUCCGCACAGUAAACGAUGAAUACUUGUUUUCGGCGAUAUAAUGUCGGAGGCAAAGCGAAAGCGAUAAGUAUUCCACCUGAGGAGUACGCCGGCAACGGUGAAACUCAAAGGAAUUGACGGGG